Molecule: ribosomal RNA, 511 nt
Filed under: Munidopsis barbarae
Lineage: Eukaryota; Metazoa; Arthropoda; Malacostraca; Decapoda; Munidopsidae
Description: partial 16S large subunit ribosomal RNA
Rfam family: Bacterial large subunit ribosomal RNA
Source: RNAcentral
GUCUGUAUGAAGUUAUAUAGAGUCUAACCUGCCCAUUGAAAUUUAAAAGGCCGCGGUAUCCUAACUGUGCAAAGGUAGCAUAAUAAUUAGCUUUUUAAUUGAGAGCUUGUAUGAAAGGUUGGACAAAGAAAAAUCUGUCUUUAAUAUUUAUUUUGAAUUUUACAUUUAAGUGAAAAGGCUUAAAUGAAUUUAAGGGACGAUAAGACCCUAUAAAUCUUUACAUUUAUUUAUUUUUUAUUAAUUUAGAUUAUCAAUUAAUUAAAAUAUAAAUAUAUGUUUUAUUGGGGUGAUAAAGAUAUAAUUUAAAUAACUGUUUUUAAAAAUAAACAAAUAUAAUUGAUAAGUAUAAGAUCCUUUUUAAAGAUUAAAAGUUAAAGUUACUUUAGGGAUAACAGCGUAAUUUUUUUUGAGAGUUCGUAUCGAAAAAAAAGUUUGCGACCUCGAUGUUGAAUUAAAAAUUCUUUAUAAUGCAGAAGUUAUAAGGGAAAGUCUGUUCGACUUUUAAAUUUUU